This 413-nucleotide ribosomal RNA is filed under the name Peripatopsis capensis. RNAcentral's name for it is "SSU rRNA". It matches the Rfam family "Eukaryotic small subunit ribosomal RNA", at positions 991 to 1403 of the family's 1831-position model. The record is from RNAcentral. Lineage: Eukaryota; Metazoa; Onychophora; Udeonychophora; Euonychophora; Peripatopsidae.
CAGAGGUUCGAAGGCGAUCAGAUACCGCCCUAGUUCUGACCGUAAACGAUGCCACCUGACGAACCGCCAGGGUUACUACCAUGACUCGGCGGGCAGUCCCCGGGAAACCCAAGCCUUCGGGUUCCGGGGGAAGUAUGGUUGCAAAGCUGAAACUUAAAGGAAUUGACGGAAGGGCACCACCAGGAGUGGAGCCUGCGGCUUAAUUUGACUCAACACGGGGAACCUCACCCGGCCCGGACACCGCGAGGAUUGACAGAUUGAGAGCUCUUUCUCGAUUCGGUGGGUGGUGGUGCAUGGCCGUUCUUAGUUGGUGGAGCGAUUUGUCUGGUUAAUUCCGAUAACGAACGAGACUCUAGCCGGUUAAGUAGCCCGAGCGGUUUUUGAUCUUUGCCGUUCAUCCCCGUUCGACCUUU